UUUCUAUAACUAUCUAAACCUAAUACAUUCCUAUAUAUGAAAUGAAACAUACACACAUAAUUUCAAACAAUUCAAACAAUAUUCACACAAAAAAUAAUUCGAAGUACUCACACACUCGUAUGUCACAUCAACAUAUAUAUAUAUACAUAUGGGAACUGAUUCCCUAUACAGCUCUCUUAAUUUCAAUACCUGCCAGCGAUGUCAACUCAAGUUGAAUUUUCUCUUAAUAAUCCAAGUGCGG
This 241-nucleotide unclassified non-coding RNA is filed under the name Hevea brasiliensis (rubber tree). Lineage: Eukaryota; Viridiplantae; Streptophyta; Magnoliopsida; Malpighiales; Euphorbiaceae. The record is from RNAcentral.